CACGUAGGGCGCAAGCGUUGUCCGGAAUUAUUGGGCGUAAAGAGCUCGUAGGCGGUCUGUUGCGUCCGCUGUGAAAACCCGGGGCUUAACCCUGGGCUGGCAGUGGAUACGGACAGACUAGAGGUAGGUAGGGGAGAAUGGAAUUCCCGGUGUAGCGGUGAAAUGCGUAGAUAUCAGGAGGAACACCGGCGGUGUAGACGGCUUACUGGACCACGACUGACGCUGAGGCACGAAAGCGUGGGUAGCAAACAGG
RNAcentral lists this ribosomal RNA (253 nucleotides) under uncultured bacterium. RNAcentral describes it as "partial 16S ribosomal RNA". It matches the Rfam family "Bacterial small subunit ribosomal RNA", at positions 524 to 776 of the family's 1533-position model. The record is from RNAcentral.